UACGUAGGGUCCGAGCGUUGUCCGGAAUUAUUGGGCGUAAAGAGCUCGUAGGCGGCCUGUUGCGUCCGCUGUGAAAGCCCGGGGCUUAACCCCGGGUCUGCAGUGGAUACGGGCAGGCUAGAGGUAGGUAGGGGAGAAUGGAAUUCCUGGUGUAGCGGUGAAAUGCGCAGAUAUCAGGAGGAACACCGGUGGCGAAGGCGGGUCUCUGGGCCGAUACUGACACUGAGGAGCGAAAGCGUGGGGAGCGAACAGG
This 253-nucleotide ribosomal RNA is filed under the name uncultured bacterium. Its description in RNAcentral is "partial 16S ribosomal RNA". It matches the Rfam family "Bacterial small subunit ribosomal RNA", at positions 524 to 776 of the family's 1533-position model. The record is from RNAcentral.